This 274-nucleotide ribosomal RNA is filed under the name uncultured bacterium. Its description in RNAcentral is "partial 16S ribosomal RNA". It matches the Rfam family "Bacterial small subunit ribosomal RNA", at positions 523 to 796 of the family's 1533-position model. The record is from RNAcentral.
AUACGGAGGGUGCAAACGUUGUUCGGAAUCACUGGGCGUAAAGGACGCGUAGGCGGAUAAUCAAGUCAAAAGUGAAAUCCCACGGCUUAACCGUGGAACUGCUUUCGAAACUGGUUAUCUAGAAUAUGGAAGAGGCAGAUGGAAUUAGUGGUGUAGGGGUAAAAUCCGUAGAGAUCACUAGGAAUACCGAUUGCGAAGGCGAUCUGCUGGGACAUUAUUGACGCUGAGGCAUGAAAGCGUGGGGAGCAAACAGGAUUAGAAACCCCAGUAGUCC